AUGGACGACGUCUCAGGGCACGAGUGCACGCUUACAGUCCAUGACGACCAAGUGCACUAUUGUGGCUCUUGCACAGAAGUGAGAGUCCCAGCUUUCCCCCCAUUUUCAGAGACCAUGGUAGGGAUGACAGUCCGCUUCUCUGGGUCAGAUCCCUACUCCAUUGAGGUUGAUGUCCGACGAGUAGACAGGCGGGAUUCUGUUACCAUCGUAUAUCUUUGGACGGGUGUCGUCUCCCUUCAUGCCUGCAGUGGUGACAUGGUUAUACUGAGGUCCACAGAUACCUCGGACAGAUGGCAGGGAGACAUCGGAUAUUGGCCAAACCCUAGCUUUACUGCUAAAUCUGAGAAGAAAGAAAAAGAUGGAAGUAAAACUGACCAAAGUUUCUAUGGACAACACUUUGAGAGGGAUGUCUUGAUUUAUGUGCGAGAUGAGCAAGUGUGCAUAGGCAGUAAACUGUCACUGUGGCUACCAAAUACGAAGAUAUUGAUUAAGCCAGCACCAAAUUGUCCUGCUAACAUUAAGAUCUUACAUGGCAAGUCUUCCCAGCGAAAUCGCAGGUCAUCUAAACAGAAAGAAUGUCAAGGUAAAUAUCAAACUGAAGUUCAUAGCUCUAUCAUUAUGUAUAUGACUCUAAUCCUUACACCCUCCCCCUCUCACCUCCGUUCUAUUCUGAUUUCAAUGAUGCAGCUGAGCAGAAAAUUAAAGUUGCAAUAA
Molecule: ribosomal RNA, 714 nt
Filed under: Triticum aestivum (bread wheat)
Lineage: Eukaryota; Viridiplantae; Streptophyta; Magnoliopsida; Poales; Poaceae
Description: partial small subunit ribosomal RNA
Source: RNAcentral